RNAcentral lists this ribosomal RNA (494 nucleotides) under Microchirus azevia. RNAcentral describes it as "partial 12S rRNA". It matches the Rfam family "Bacterial small subunit ribosomal RNA", at positions 787 to 1484 of the family's 1533-position model. Lineage: Eukaryota; Metazoa; Chordata; Actinopteri; Pleuronectiformes; Soleidae. The record is from RNAcentral.
CCACUAUGCUCAGCCCUAAACAUAGAUUUUAUUUAAUAUCCGCCCGGGUACUACGUAACGUAAGUUUGAAACCCAAAGGACUUGGCGGCGCUUAACAUCCACCUAGAGGAGCCUGUUCUAUAACCGAUAACCCCCGUUAAACCUCACCCUCUCUGGCCUUAAGCCGCCUAUAUACCACCGUCGCCAGCUUACCCUGUAAAGGCCCCACAGUAAACAAAAUUAGCAUUGCUCAGAACGUCAGGUCGAGGUGUAGCACAUGAGAGGGGAAGAAAUGGGCUACAUUCGCUACUCCUUAGCGAACACGAAUAACCGCGUUGAAAAAGCGUAUCUGAAGGAGGAUUUAGAAGUAAGCAAAAAACAGAGUGUUUUGCUGAAACUUGGCACUAAAGCGCGCACAUACCGCCCGUCACUCUCUCCAAUAUUUCACACCCCCCCCCCCUUAACCCUUAGUAAAUAUAAACUACCCCCUCCCCCUCCCGACUGAGGAGAGGAAA